Molecule: long non-coding RNA, 2880 nt
Filed under: Nicotiana tabacum (common tobacco)
Lineage: Eukaryota; Viridiplantae; Streptophyta; Magnoliopsida; Solanales; Solanaceae
Description: long non-coding RNA (NTAB_LNC002782)
Source: RNAcentral
GAGAGAGAGAGAAAGGUAUUGUUUCUUAAUUUGCUUCUCACAUCUUUCCGACGCUCCCAUAUGUCUUCUGAUUUAAGUUUUCUCUUAAAGGUAGAUCCAAACAAACUGUAGGAAGGUUUGCAGUUUGGCAACCCAAGAUUGAUGCCAAACUCUACAAAUCAUGGACUGAGUUGACUGGAAGAAGCUCGCUCUUGGACUAAUUGACAUGUAAGAAAAACAUACACACACACAUAUUUUGCAUAAUGUUGAUACUAAUAUAUAAGUAGUCUUAUAAAAAAUAUAUAUUAUACACACACACAUAUAUAUAUAUAGAUAGAUAGUCUUCACAAUACUUCAAGUCCAGUCUUUGAUAUUCAGCAAAGUCUCUACACUUCGACAAGUCUUGAAGUAGGAGGAUUUAUAGACAUUUAAAACUUAAAUGGACUUCAAUCCAUAAGAAAUUUGGAUAAUGUCUUAAUUUCAAAUCAUGUUCAAAUAAAUAUUUUGGGCUAAUAUAAAUGAAUUAAUUAUUCAAGUCCAAUAUAUAUGGAUUUAAUUAAAAAGUUCAAUUUGGGCUUGUCCUUUUAGUUGUGCUACAAAUGAUAAAUCCAUGUUAUUAGUCCAAGGUCAAUUAGAUGUCAUCUUUUCUUAAAGGCUCAACUUGUGUCACGUGACAAGUGACAUGGCGCGCCAAGUCAAAAAAUGGAGCCAAUGAGAUCUGCAAUGUGUGAAAUGAUGCGGCAUGCCAAGUCAAAUAAAAAGUAUCAUGCCAAGUGCACAAGUGAUAUGUUUUGACCCAUCAAAUGUGGUCUUAUCAUUGUUUUGAUCUGAUAGGUGAUAGGUCAGUGGGUCAAGACUCAAGACAACAGAACAAUAGGUAUCCUGCAAAGAUAAGGUGCCAAACUGAAGUAUCGUGUCAAGUUCAGGGGGUUGUCAAUGUAUUUGGCCUAAUUUUUUACACGGGGAAAGCAAAUUAGUUAAGAACUGUUAUUGCUGGGGACUAUAUUUCCUCCAUUUAAUAGGUGAAAGCUUGAGGCACUACAGAGUUGAACAGUGCUACACCGAAUGGACAGGAAAAGGUUGCUCUCUCCUCUGGAAUUGAGGGCUGAUAAUCAUUCUUUCCAUAUUCCAUUAUUUCUCCAGUGAAAUGUACCAAAAAGUUGCUAACCUUGCUCUUCAUAAGAGCUUCUCUUUCUCCCUGCUUUAAGACAUUAAGAAAUAAGUAUUGAUUCUCGAGAUAAGAAUAAGUGCCCUUUAUGGUGGUAGAAGUUUUGUCAUGAAAGAUGCACUAAGAAAGCUCUAGGAACUUGAGCUUGGACAACAUACGUGAAUAAAGUUCAGAACCAUAUUUUGGUUAUCCUUUUUUUCUUUAUCUCCUAGAUCAAAUAUUUUGUUGCAUAUAGGAAGCUGUACCUCUUAAGAAAUAAGUAUUGAUUCUCAACUGUUGCUUAAAUAUUUUUAGAACUGUUAACCAAGAAUUCCUGCAUUGGGAUCACCAAGGGUCUCAUCUUCUGCUUUGCCUUUCCUCUUCUUCCUUUUCCCACUUUUCUUUAUUUAAGCUCUCUUCUUUUUCUUUUUCUCCCUUUCGACAUCCCUAACAUCCUUUUUCUCUGUAGAUCCUGCAUCUUCCCUGCCUUCCCUUUUCUUUUUCUUGUUUCACCAAAACUAAAUGAAAGGAACUAGGGUAGUUGCAGCUAUCUGUGAAACUUAGGUGUUUUUACUUGCCAAGGAUUCAGUAAGGAGCACAAUGCAAUGUGGGGAAAAAAAAAGUCAAAGCAGCUCCUUGGCACUUCACCAUGUCUUCUUCUCUUUUAUGUUCGCCCACCAAUUUAACAUAUUUAAUUAUUCAAAGUGUCUUUUUUGUUUUCCAAGUGUUUCUCGUACAUAGUACUUUUGCUUUUGCAGUUAAUGUGACAAAUUCUAGUUCUGGUUGUCACUGAAUUGCCAAAUCAUCAUUUAUACCUAUAGGCAGAGAAGGGACAAUGAUGAAAAGGAUAUCACAGAUGCCUAUUAACAUGGCUUCUUUCUUGGUCUAUGUGGCUCUUUUGUUUUCAAAGCACCACACUUGGAACAGUUUGUUCAUCAUUGUUGUUCAGGAUAUCUUCAAAGUUCCAUCCUUUGUGUUUUUGCCUGAAAGCACUUAAUGGGGACUGAGGCGUGGUUGAUCGAUUGUUUGAUUGAUUUUGCGGCUAAAAGCAAAACAUCACCUUUUGAGAAUCAAAAAAGAGGAAGAAUGUUAUAUACUGAUAAAAAUGUUCCACAUUGAGUGAGGGAUGGGCUGUUGUCUCCUUAUAGGCAAUCCUCAGUUCAUGAUUUAGUAAUUUGGGUUGAGUUGGACCAAUGUCCAUUUUCAUGUAGUAUUGCUUUGUUUUGGAUGAACACAUUAUCAAAUCUGAUUGUUUUUGCUCUUAACUUCAGAUCUUACAUUGCUGCUCUUCUUCCUUUUCUUGUAGGAUGAAGGGAACUAAAGCACCAUCUUCAGAUUGUUGCAUCUACAUGGCCGGACAUUGUUUCUUGAUUAUGUAUCUUUGCGAUGUCUGAUAUCUGCAAGAUAAUCUGUAAUAGAGAACAUAAAAUUUGAUGUUUUCAUUUGGUGGUACAAAUUUGUAGUCUCGCAAUCCAGUUGCAGUCAAGCACUCCCCUCCUCCCAAAUCCACCAAAAGAAAAAAUAUUUCUGAUCAAUUGAAAGGGUGUUCCCUCAAGUUUAUGAUGUUUUCUAAAGAUUUUAACAUGUUUCUGAACUCGUAGUCACAUUAUUUGAAUUGCAGAGAGCAAAAUGUCGCCUCUAGUUAUUUAUUUAUGGACAAAUUACUGUAUAUUUUGCUUUCUGAGUACAUCUGGAAAUGGAAUAAUGGAUUGAAUUAACAAAGGAUAAUUUAUCUCGCAUAGGAAAGUCAAAAC